UAGAGAAUGAGGUGAACCAAAAUUAUUA
This 28-nucleotide non-coding RNA is filed under the name Bombyx mori (domestic silkworm). Lineage: Eukaryota; Metazoa; Arthropoda; Insecta; Lepidoptera; Bombycidae. The record is from RNAcentral.